Molecule: transfer RNA, 71 nt
Filed under: Marmota monax (woodchuck)
Lineage: Eukaryota; Metazoa; Chordata; Mammalia; Rodentia; Sciuridae
Description: tRNA.Thr
Source: RNAcentral
GGUUGUGGCUCAGUGGUAGGUAGAGUGCUUGCCUUGUACUCAUGGGGCCCUGGGUUCAAUCUUCAGCACCA